UCUACUCAGGAAAUAAUAUUUUUCUCAGUACUGAACAUAUAGGUGAUCUUUAGAGAGCUUUGAGCGGUGUUGAACUACUCAGUCGAGCGCCUAAAAUGAGUAGUUUCUCUACAAGAGCAUUGCUGAAAAAGUACAAUUUCAUUUUAUUUUCGACUGAAUCACAAAAUGAGAACUCGUACAAAUGGUAGCAAAUAAAUUUGUGUGCGAAAAAACUGUCUUGCGAUCUGCCAAAACACGUAACACGAUUAAUGAUUUCGUUUCGGAACUGCUAGUGUGGGUAGAUAAAAACGCUUUCACAUACACACACAUACGCAUAUAUGCGUUUAUAACAUUGUAAAUAAAUAAGCUUGUUAUUCAGGCUAAAAAAUGCGAGCGCGCAAGUUUAA
This is a long non-coding RNA of Bactrocera dorsalis (oriental fruit fly), 386 nucleotides long. RefSeq lists it as uncharacterized. The record is from RefSeq and is a predicted model, not a curated record. The transcript has 2 exons. Lineage: Eukaryota; Metazoa; Arthropoda; Insecta; Diptera; Tephritidae.